Molecule: ribosomal RNA, 253 nt
Filed under: uncultured bacterium
Lineage: Bacteria
Description: partial 16S ribosomal RNA
Rfam family: Bacterial small subunit ribosomal RNA
Source: RNAcentral
UACGUAGGGGGCAAGCGUUGUCCGGAUUUACUGGGCGUAAAGAGCGUGUAGGCGGCCACGCAGGUCCGUUGUGAAAACUGGAGGCUCAACCUCCAGCUGUCGACGGAAACCGUAUGGCUAGAGUCCGGAAGAGGAGAGUGGAAUUCCUGGUGUAGCGGUGAAAUGCGCAGAUAUCAGGAGGAACACCAAUGGCGAAGGCAGCUCACUGGGACGGUAUUGACGCUGAGACGCGAAAGCGUGGGGAGCAAACAGG